CCAGGACACCCAACUGGCCCCGCCCGGUUUUGGGACCUGGCUCCCCCGAGUUAGCGGCGGACGGGUGAGUAACACGUGGGCAACCUACCUGUAAGACUGGGAUAACUUCGGGAAACCGGAGCUAAUACCGGAUGACAUAAAGGAACUCCUGUUCCUUUAUUGAAAGAUGGCUUCGGCUAUCACUUACAGAUGGGCCCGCGGCGCAUUAGCUAGUUGGUGAGGUAACGGCUCACCAAGGCGACGAUGCGUAGCCGACCUGAGAGGGUGAUCGGCCACACUGGGACUGAGACACGGCCCAGACUCCUACGGGAGGCAGCAGUAGGGAAUCUUCCGCAAUGGACGAAAGUCUGACGGAGCAACGCCGCGUGAGCGAUGAAGGCCUUCGGGUCGUAAAGCUCUGUUGUUAGGGAAGAAUAAGUGCUAGUUGAAUAAGCUGGCACCUUGACGGUACCUAACCAGAAAGCCACGGCUAACUACGUGCCAGCAGCCGCGGUAAUACGUAGGUGGCAAGCGUUGUCCGGAAUUAUUGGGCGUAAAGCGCGCGCAGGCGGUUUCUUAAGUCUGAUGUGAAAGCCCCCGGCUCAACCGGGGAGGGUCAUUGGAAACUGGGAAACUUGAGUGCAGAAGAGGAAAGUGGAAUUCCAAGUGUAGCGGUGAAAUGCGUAGAGAUUUGGAGGAACACCAGUGGCGAAGGCGACUUUCUGGUCUGUAACUGACGCUGAGGCGCGAAAGCGUGGGGAGCAAACAGGAUUAGAUACCCUGGUAGUCCACGCUGUAAACGAUGAGUGCUAAGUGUUAGAGGGUUUCCGCCCUUUAGUGCUGAAGUUAACGCAUUAAGCACUCCGCCUGGGGAGUACGGUCGCAAGACUGAAACUCAAAGGAAUUGACGGGGGCCCGCACAAGUGGUGGAGCAUGUGGGUUUAAUUCGAAGCAACGCGAGAACCUUACCAGGUCUUGACAUCCUCUGACACCUAGAGAUAGGGCUUUCCCUUCGGGGACAGAGUGACAAGGUGGUGCAUGGUUGUCGUCAGCUCGUGUCGUGAGAUGUUGGGUUAAGUCCCGCAACGAGCGCACCUUGAUCUAGUUGCCAGCAAUUCAGUGGGCACUCUAAGUGACUGCCGGUGACAACGAGAGGUGGGAUGACGUCCAUCAUCAUUGCCUUUAUGACCUGGCCUACCACGCGUGUCUUACAUGGAUUUAGUAC
Molecule: ribosomal RNA, 1204 nt
Filed under: Bacillus sp. (in: firmicutes)
Lineage: Bacteria; Bacillati; Bacillota; Bacilli; Caryophanales; Bacillaceae
Description: bacterial SSU rRNA
Rfam family: Bacterial small subunit ribosomal RNA
Source: RNAcentral